GCAUAUCAAUAAGCGGAGGAAAAGAAACCAACAGGGAUUGCCUUAGUAGCGGCGAGUGAAGCGGCAAAAGCUCAAAUUUGAAAUCUGGCUCUUUCAGAGUCCGAGUUGUAAUUUGAAGAAGGUAUCUUUGGGUCUGGCUCUUGUCUAUGUUUCUUGGAACAGAACGUCACAGAGGGUGAGAAUCCCGUGCGAUGAGAUGAUCCAGGCCUAUGUAAAGUUCCUUCGAAGAGUCGAGUUGUUUGGGAAUGCAGCUCUAAGUGGGUGGUAAAUUCCAUCUAAAGCUAAAUAUUGGCGAGAGACCGAUAGCGAACAAGUACAGUGAUGGAAAGAUGAAAAGAACUUUGAAAAGAGAGUGAAAAAGUACGUGAAAUUGUUGAAAGGGAAGGGCUUGAGAUCAGACUUGGUAUUUUGUAUGUUACUUCUUCGGGGGUGGCCUCUACAGUUUAUCGGGCCAGCAUCAGUUUGGGCGGUAGGAGAAUUGCGUUGGAAUGUGGCACGGCUUCGGUUGUGUGUUAUAGCCUUCGUCGAUACUGCCAGCCUAGACUGAGGACUGCG
This 555-nucleotide ribosomal RNA is filed under the name Candida tropicalis. RNAcentral describes it as "partial large subunit ribosomal RNA". It matches the Rfam family "Eukaryotic large subunit ribosomal RNA", at positions 38 to 599 of the family's 3401-position model. Lineage: Eukaryota; Fungi; Ascomycota; Pichiomycetes; Serinales; Debaryomycetaceae. The record is from RNAcentral.